GUCACCCAUGCGGGCAUUGCCCAAUAUUCCUCACUGCUGCCUCCCCUACGGGAGGCAGCAGUGGGGAAUAUUGGACAAUGGGCGCAAGCCUGAACCAGCCAUCCCGCGUGCAGGAUGAAGGCCCUAUGGGUCGUAAACUGCUUUUAUACACCAAGAAAAAACACCACGAGUGGUGGA
This 177-nucleotide ribosomal RNA is filed under the name uncultured bacterium. Its description in RNAcentral is "partial 16S ribosomal RNA". It matches the Rfam family "Bacterial small subunit ribosomal RNA", at positions 303 to 468 of the family's 1533-position model. The record is from RNAcentral.